UACGUAGGGUGCGAGCGUUAAUCGGAAUUACUGGGCGUAAAGCGUGCGCAGGCGGUUGUGCAAGACAGAUGUGAAAUCCCCGGGCUUAACCUGGGAAUGGCAUUUGUGACUGCAUCGCUGGAGUGCGGCAGAGGGGGAUGGAAUUCCGCGUGUAGCAGUGAAAUGCGUAGAUAUCUGGAGGAAUACCGGUGGCGAAGGCGGGUUGCUGGGCUGAUACUGACGCUGAGGCGCGAAAGCCAGGGGAGCGGAACGGG
This 254-nucleotide ribosomal RNA is filed under the name uncultured bacterium. Its description in RNAcentral is "partial 16S ribosomal RNA". It matches the Rfam family "Bacterial small subunit ribosomal RNA", at positions 524 to 776 of the family's 1533-position model. The record is from RNAcentral.